AGUAAACGGCGGCCGUAACUAUAACGGUCCUAAGGUAGCGAAAUUCCUUGUCGGGCAAGUUCCGACCUGCACGAAUGGCAUAAUAAUGGCCACACUGUCUCCUCCCGAGACUCAGUGAAAUUGAAAUGUUUGUGAUGAUGCAAUCUCCCCGCGGCUAGACGGAAAGACCCCAUGAACCUUAACUGUAGCUUUGCAUUGGACUUUGAACCGAUCUGUGUAGGAUAGGCGGGAGGCUUUGAAGAAUGGACGCCAGUUCAUUCGGAGCCGUCGUUGAAAUACCGCCCUGAUUUGUUUGAGGUUCUAACCUGGGCCAGUGAUCCUGGCUGGGGACCGUGCAUGGUGGGCAGUUUGACUGGGGCGGUCUCCUCCUAAAGGGUAACGGAGGAGUGCGAAGGUACGCUAAUCACGGUCGGAAAUCGUGAGGAUACUGCAAUGGGAAAAGCGUGCCUGACUGCGAGACAGACAAGUCGAGCAGAUGCGAAAGCAGGUCAUAGUGAUCCGGUGGCUUCUGUAUGGAAGGGCCAUCGCUCAACGGAUAAAAGGUACUCCGGGGAUAACAGGCUGAUACCGCCCAAGAGUUCAUAUCGACGGCGGUGUUUGGCCCCUCGAUGUCGGCUCAUCUCAUCCUGGGGCUGUAGCCGGUCCCAAGGGUAUGGCUGUUCGCCAUUUAAAGAGGUACGUGAGCUGGGUUUAAAACGUCGUGAGACAGUUUGGUCCCUAUCUACCGCGGGCGCUGGAAGAUUGACAGGGGCUGCUCCUAGUACGAGAGGACCGGAGUGGACGCACCUCUGGUGUAUCGGUUGUGACGCCAGUCGCAUUGCCGAGUAGCUAUGUGCGGAAGAGAUAACCGCUGAAAGCAUCUAAGCGGGAAACUUGCCUGAAGAUUAGUCUUCCCGGAGGCUUGACCUCCCUGAAGGGUCGUCCGAGACCAGGACGUUGAUAGGCCAGGUGUGGAAGCGCUGUGAGGCGUGAAGCUAACUGGUACUAAUUGCCCGUGAGGCUUGAUCCU
Molecule: ribosomal RNA, 1009 nt
Filed under: metagenome
Description: bacterial LSU rRNA
Rfam family: Bacterial large subunit ribosomal RNA
Source: RNAcentral